CUUUUUAAAGUUACAUCGUGAUAAUUCUUUUUACAAGAAUCCUUUAGCUGCAAAAAUAAUUAUGCCCUAAUUUAUCUUUCUUCUAAAUCUAGAUUUUUCACAUUAUAUACAAACAAGCCUGUUAUUAAGUUCUGAUUCCAGAUUUUUAAAAAUUGCAAUGAAAACACAGCUUUGCAUGUGGCAGAGCUGAAAAUGAGGCCAGUUCCACUUAUUUCAUUACUCUGGUUUUAUUGCAUUUCACCCAAGUACAUUUUCCUAAUUCUGUUUUUAUAUUUUCCCAUCUAUGAAAAUACACAAGAUUUGAAAACUGAUUUUACUUCAUUAAUAUUUCAAACCAUACUUCAAACUGGUGUCAGGUAUGGAUUUUGUGUCAUAAUUCUGGAAAUGAAAAAUACUACAUUCCUUAUUUUUCUUCUUUCUCUAAAUGGAAAUAAAAUCUUUUCCAAGCCCCCAUCCUACCAGAAUGGAAUUUAAUCUCAUUCUCAGCCUACAAAUCAGUCCUGAAUCUAAUCUAAUUUGGUGGUUUUAUAUAAGGCUUUAUAAAGCAAAGUGCCUAUGAUAAUACUGUGUGGUCAACACAAAGAAAUACUGCACACUUAGAGCUCCUAUGUUGUAGGAAUUAUUAAUUGCAUUAGUAAUCAAAAAAAUAUACCUGUAGGAACAACUUAAGAAUGGAAAUACAAUUUUUUGACACAAAGGGAUGGAUGUUUAAAUAUUAUAGCAUGUGCUACUGGUUCAGAAGGGGAAGCUGUCACUGUGUGUGGGAAUAGCCAGGGAUCACGGUCAGAGAUGGACUUAUUUAUCUGGCCCUUAAACAUAAAUAAGAUUUUAAUAAGUGGGGAGGGGAUUCCAGGUGAGGGAAGUAGCCUAAAGCAAGGCUUGGAAGAAAAAGGUGCUCAGGGCCCAGAGAACUGGCCUGGCUGAAACAGCGUGUUCAUGUUGGGGGAGUGUGUAAGGCUGGGAUUUAGGAAACACUGAGUGUCAGGGAGUUGGCAUCUUAUCCGGAAAUGAAUGGCUAUGAGCAGAGUGGUGGCAGGACCAGUAUCAACGUGAGUCCGAUGACUCAGACUUCAGAAAGACACCGAAACAACUCCAAGUAUGAAAGGGUAGGGAGGGGAAAAUAAUGAUCUUCCAAGAGGAAGAGUCUAACAUGCUGACAGGACUUCAGGAUUUGGGGUCUCUGUGACAACUAAAUAUUUGACCAAAAAGGGAAAUUCAUAGGAGAGGGCAAUUUUUGGAACACAAGCAUGAUUUUAGAAAAGAAGCUGAAUUAUUUUACCAGCUAGUGAUAUUUAUAAUCAUUACAAUUUCACAAGUUCACUGUAAGAAACAGUGUAAAGAUAGAAAAGCAAAGGGCCUGGCUG
RNAcentral lists this long non-coding RNA (1364 nucleotides) under Canis lupus familiaris (dog). Its description in RNAcentral is "lncRNA (ENSCAFG00000052834.1, ENSCAFG00805015228.1)". The record is from RNAcentral. Lineage: Eukaryota; Metazoa; Chordata; Mammalia; Carnivora; Canidae.